AUGCUCCGCCUCUCCCGCUUCCUCCCCUCCACCUCCAGGGGAGUCACUGACCUAAAAGAUGUUCUCUGGAGCGGUUCGUUGACAUUCAAGCAUGCGCUUUCGACUUCAGCUGCAAAUGUUGAUGAGAAUGCAUCUGUUAAAAAGUAUGCGAGCUACACUGUGUUCAAGGGAAAGGCUGCACUUUCUAUAAGUCCUAUCCUUCCUUUAUUCACCAAAGUCGAAUCUGGAGGAUCUCGAGUGGACAGGAAUGGGUCAGUAAUGUUGACCUUUUUCCCGGCAGUUGGACAAAGGAAGUACGACUAUACAAAGAAACAGCUCUUUGCUCUGUCACCUACUGAAGUUGGGAGCUUGAUAAGUCUUGGGCCUGCUGAAUCAUGCGAAUUCUUCCAUGAUCCUUCCAUGAAAUCAAGUCAUGAAGGCCAAGUGAAAAAGUCAUUGUCAAUUACUCCUCUUGGCAGUGACAAUGGAUACUUCGUUAACAUAACUGUUCUGAAUAAUGUGCAGAAGACCAACGAACGCCUUUCAGUCCCUGUAACAAAAGCUGAAUUUGCAGUUAUGCGCACGGCAUUGAGUUUUGCAUUGCCGCACAUCAUGGGUUGGGACCAGGCCCUAUCGACUCACCCUCAAAGCACCUCGACCUCAGCUAGCAAGCCUAGGUUCGAGCAGCCAAAUCCAGCUUCGGAGUGGGACAGGUGA
This 696-nucleotide ribosomal RNA is filed under the name Triticum aestivum (bread wheat). RNAcentral describes it as "partial small subunit ribosomal RNA". The record is from RNAcentral. Lineage: Eukaryota; Viridiplantae; Streptophyta; Magnoliopsida; Poales; Poaceae.